RNAcentral lists this ribosomal RNA (301 nucleotides) under uncultured bacterium. RNAcentral describes it as "partial 16S ribosomal RNA". It matches the Rfam family "Bacterial small subunit ribosomal RNA", at positions 509 to 807 of the family's 1533-position model. The record is from RNAcentral.
CAGUAGCCGCGGGAAUACGUAGGUGGCAAGCGUUGUCCGGAUUUACUGGGCGUAAAGCGAACGCAGGCGGACUGUUAAGUAGGAAGUGAAAGGUCGGAGCUCAACUCCAACAUUGCUUCCUAUACUGGCAGUCUUGAGUAGCGGAGAGGAAGGGGGAACGACACGUGUAGCGGUGAAAUGCGUUGAUAUGUGUCGGGACACCCAUGGCGUAAGCACCCUUCUGGACGCAAACUGACGCUCAGGUUCGAAAGCCAAGGCAGCGAACAGGAUUAGAUACCCCUGUAGUCCCUGUCUCUUAUAC